RNAcentral lists this ribosomal RNA (401 nucleotides) under uncultured bacterium. RNAcentral's name for it is "bacterial SSU rRNA". It matches the Rfam family "Bacterial small subunit ribosomal RNA", at positions 356 to 774 of the family's 1533-position model. The record is from RNAcentral.
GGGGAAUAUUGCACAAUGGGGGAAACCCUGAUGCAGCAACGCCGCGUGAGUGAUGACGGCCUUCGGGUUGUAAAGCUCUGUCUUCAGGGACGAUAAUGACGGUACCUGAGGAGGAAGCCACGGCUAACUACGUGCCAGCAGCCGCGGUAAUACGUAGGUGGCAAGCGUUGUCCGGAUUUACUGGGCGUAAAGGGAGCGUAGGCGGACUUUUAAGUGAGAUGUGAAAUACCCGGGCUCAACCUGGGUGCUGCAUUUCAAACUGGAAGUCUAGAGUGCAGGAGAGGAGAGUGGAAUUCCUAGUGUAGCGGUGAAAUGCGUAGAGAUUAGGAAGAACACCAGUGGCGAAGGCGACUCUCUGGACUGUAACUGACGCUGAGGCUCGAAAGCGUGGGGAGCAAACA